GCUGCAACAACGGCAGGCGGCGGCAACGGCGGCAGCGCCAGCAACAGCUAGAGUUAUAGGACAGCUGCUGCCGAUGCUGCUGCCGCUGCUGCUGCCCAAACGGAAUUGCAGU
RNAcentral lists this microRNA precursor (112 nucleotides) under Drosophila pseudoobscura. Its description in RNAcentral is "microRNA dps-mir-2502 precursor". The record is from miRBase by way of RNAcentral. Lineage: Eukaryota; Metazoa; Arthropoda; Insecta; Diptera; Drosophilidae.